RNAcentral lists this ribosomal RNA (253 nucleotides) under uncultured bacterium. RNAcentral's name for it is "partial 16S ribosomal RNA". It matches the Rfam family "Bacterial small subunit ribosomal RNA", at positions 524 to 776 of the family's 1533-position model. The record is from RNAcentral.
GACGAGCCACACGAACGUUAUUCGGAAUUACUGGGCUUAAAGGGCGCGCAGGCGGCCCUUGAAGUCAGGCGUGAAAGCCCCGGGCUCAACCUGGGAGGUGCGCUUGAUACUCGAGGGCUUGAGUGCGGGAGAGGAGAGUGGAAUUCCCAGUGUAGAGGUGAAAUUCGUAGAUAUUGGGAAGAACACCGGUGGCGAAGGCGGCUCUCUGGACCGUAACUGACGCUGAGGCGCGAAAGCGUGGGGAGCGAACAGG